UAAGGAAUAUUGGUCAAUGGACGCAAGUCUGAACCAGCCAUGCCGCGUGGAGGAUGAAGGUCCUCUGGAUUGUAAACUUCUUUUAUCUGGGACGAAACACUUCUUUUCUAAGAGGCCUGACGGUACCAGAUGAAUAAGCACCGGCUAACUCCGUGCCAGUAGCCGCGGUAAUACGGAGGGUGCAAGCGUUAUCCGGAUUCACUGGGUUUAAAGGGUGCGUAGGUGGGUAUGUAAGUCAGUGGUGAAAUCCCCGAGCUUAACUUGGGAACUGCCAUUGAUACUAUAUAUCUUGAAUACCGUAGAGGUAAGCGGAAUAUGUCAUGUAGCGGUGAAAUGCUUAGAUAUGACAUGGAACACCAAUUGCGAAGGCAGCUUACUAUGCGGUGAUUGACACUGAGGCACGAAAGCGUGGGUAGCAAACA
RNAcentral lists this ribosomal RNA (422 nucleotides) under uncultured bacterium. RNAcentral's name for it is "bacterial SSU rRNA". It matches the Rfam family "Bacterial small subunit ribosomal RNA", at positions 355 to 774 of the family's 1533-position model. The record is from RNAcentral.